GACAGCGUGGACGAAAGUUGGUUUUUUCUUCGGACACUUCUUCAAGGUGCUGCAUGGUUGUCGUCAGCUCGUGCCGUGAGGUGUCGGGUUUAAGUCCCCAUAACGAGCGCAAACCCCUUUACUGUUAGUUGCCAGCGGGUCAAGCCGGGAACUCUAACGGGACUGCCACCGUAAGGUGAGAGGAAGGUGGGGAUGACGUCAAAUCAGCACGGCCCUUAUGUCCAGGGCUACACACGUGUUACAAUGGUCGGUACAAAGGGCAGCUACACCGCGAGGUGAUGCUAAUCUCUAAAGCCGGUCUCAGUUCGGAUCGAAGUCUGCAACCCGACUUCGUGAAGUUGGAUUCGCUAGUAAUCGCGCAUCAGCCAUGGCGCGGUGAAUACGUUCCCGGGCCUU
This 396-nucleotide ribosomal RNA is filed under the name uncultured Sphingobacteriales bacterium. RNAcentral describes it as "bacterial SSU rRNA". It matches the Rfam family "Bacterial small subunit ribosomal RNA", at positions 991 to 1382 of the family's 1533-position model. Lineage: Bacteria; Pseudomonadati; Bacteroidota; Sphingobacteriia; Sphingobacteriales. The record is from RNAcentral.